CUUAGUUGCUAACGCGUGAAGGCGAGCACUCUAGACGAACUGCCGUUGACAAAACGGAGGAAGGUGGGAUGACGUCAAAUCAUCAUGCCCCUUAUGUUCUGGGCUACACACGUGCUACAAUGGCCGGUACAGACGGACGCAAAGCCGCGAGGUGGAGCAAAUCCUAAAAAGCCGGUCUCAGUUCGGAUUGCAGGCUGCAAUUCGCCUGCAUGAAGUCGGAAUCGCUAGUAAUCGCAGGUCAGCAUACUGCGGUGAAUACGUUCCCGGGCCUU
RNAcentral lists this ribosomal RNA (272 nucleotides) under uncultured Bacillus sp. RNAcentral describes it as "partial 16S ribosomal RNA". It matches the Rfam family "Bacterial small subunit ribosomal RNA", at positions 1110 to 1382 of the family's 1533-position model. Lineage: Bacteria; Bacillati; Bacillota; Bacilli; Caryophanales; Bacillaceae. The record is from RNAcentral.